This 915-nucleotide long non-coding RNA is filed under the name Dromaius novaehollandiae (emu). RNAcentral's name for it is "lncRNA (ENSDNVG00000017028.1)". The record is from RNAcentral. Lineage: Eukaryota; Metazoa; Chordata; Aves; Casuariiformes; Dromaiidae.
UGUUAAUAAGGGCUAGUCUGCUUAGUUUCAGUCCUCAUUCAGGCACGUACAACUAGAUCCUCAUUUGUGUUUGACUGUCCUGGAGACAGUAUGUGCAAGGUUACAUAAUAUAUAGCUUCUCCUUCAGACCAAGUACAAUUAAAACAGAGGUAAAGACAGAAUUAGCCAAUUCACCCUUAAUAAAGCUCCACUCUGUAUAUUUACCUGCACAAAAAAUAUCCAUUAAAAUGCAGCUUGUUUCAGUUAACUGAAAACAGGUAAGUUUUAAAAAAUUAGAGGGCAAAAUAAGUGGGUAGACUUUAUACUUGUUACACAACAAGGAACUAAUAAUCCUUCUGCCUUCCUUGAGAGAGAGUCAGGGGUUCAGUAGCUUUAUGUGGGAUGACUGUCAUCAUUUGUUGUACUGUGGUGCUUGCAGGCUCCAGCUGAGAGGAGGGUCCCACUGUGCUGCACAGAAACAGGGAGGCAAUCCCUGCCCCAAAGCAUUUACAGUCGGAGGCUGCAAGGGUACAAGGGCCGUGACGGUCUGCGCUCCUCUGCUAAAUACCUGGGUCCCAGCACAAUGGCGGUGGCUGAGCUGAGUUUUCCUGGAUGUCCUUCGCUGUCAGUCUAUUUAGCAGGACUUUGAGGUCAAGGUGCCCUACAUCUUAGGGCCCAUGCUAACAUUUCAGUCAUAUGAAGAAAGGAAUAGAGUGCUACAUGCUGUUGUAUACUUACAGAGCCUCCUUUUUAUAGAUCAUGAAAGUGGCUCCUGGACUCCAGGGACUACCAACACAAGCUUCACACCAGUCCUUUCACCGCUGCCUUGUGGUCUUGUGAGUGGGAACCUAACCCAGCAGAGCAUCCUGACCCUCAGAAAACAUAUGCUGGGAAAAGGUGCUGUACCCAAGCUGGUUACAUAAUGGUAAGUCAGUC